AUUGAACGCUGGCGGCAUGCCUUACACAUGCAAGUCGAACGGCAGCACGGGUGCUUGCACCUGGUGGCGAGUGGCGAACGGGUGAGUAAUACAUCGGAACGUACCUUAUCGUGGGGGAUAACGCAGCGAAAGUUGCGCUAAUACCGCAUACGCCCUGAGGGGGAAAGCGGGGGACCGUAAGGCCUCGCGCGAUUAGAGCGGCCGAUGUCUGAUUAGCUUGUUGGUGAGGUAAAAGCUCACCAAGGCGAUGAUCAGUAGCUGGUCUGAGAGGACGAUCAGCCACACUGGGACUGAGACACGGCCCAGACUCCUACGGGAGGCAGCAGUGGGGAAUUUUGGACAAUGGGGGCAACCCUGAUCCAGCAAUGCCGCGUGAGUGAAGAAGGCCUACGGGUUGUAAAGCUCUUUUGUCAGGGAAGAAACAGCAGCUCUGACACAGUCUGCGAAUGACGGUACCUGAAGAAUAAGCACCGGCUAACUACGUGCCAGCCGCCGCAGUAA
This 501-nucleotide ribosomal RNA is filed under the name uncultured bacterium. Its description in RNAcentral is "partial 16S ribosomal RNA". It matches the Rfam family "Bacterial small subunit ribosomal RNA", at positions 30 to 523 of the family's 1533-position model. The record is from RNAcentral.